Molecule: ribosomal RNA, 308 nt
Filed under: uncultured Pseudomonas sp.
Lineage: Bacteria; Pseudomonadati; Pseudomonadota; Gammaproteobacteria; Pseudomonadales; Pseudomonadaceae
Description: bacterial SSU rRNA
Rfam family: Bacterial small subunit ribosomal RNA
Source: RNAcentral
AUGUGGUUAAGUCCGUACGAGCGCAACCUUGUCCUUAGUUACCAGCACGUUAUGGUGGGCGACUCUAAGGAGACUGCCGGUGACAAACCGGAGGAAGGUGGGGAGUGACGUCAAGUCAUCAUGGCCCUUACGGCCUGGGCUACACACGUGCUACAAUGGUCGGUACAAAGGGUUGCCAAGCCGCGAGGUGGAGCUAAUCCCAUAAAACCGAUCGUAGUCCGGAUCGCAGCCUGCAACUCGACUGCGUGAAGUCGGAAUCGCUAGUAAUCGUGAAUCAGAAUGUCACGGUGAAUACGUUCCCGGGCCUU